ACUCCUACGGGAGGCAGCAGUGGGGAAUAUUGCACAAUGGGGGAAACCCUGAUGCAGCCAUGCCGCGUGUGUGAAGAAGGCCUUCGGGUUGUAAAGCACUUUCAGUAGGGAGGAAGGUAGUGUAGUUAACACCUGCAUUAUUUGUACGUUACCUACAGAAGAAGCACCGGCUAACUCCGUGCCAGCAGCCGCGGUAAUACGGAGGGUGCGAGCGUUAAUCGGAAUUACUGGGCGUAAAGCGCAUGCAGGCGGCCUGUUAAGUCAGAUGUGAAAGCCCGGGGCUUAACCUCGGAAUUGCAUUUGAAACUGGCAGGCUAGAGUCUUGUAGAGGGGUUAGAAUUUCAGGUGUAGCGGUGAAAUGCGUAGAGAUCUGAAGGAAUACCAGUGGCGAAGGCGGCCCCUGGAC
This 406-nucleotide ribosomal RNA is filed under the name uncultured bacterium. RNAcentral's name for it is "bacterial SSU rRNA". It matches the Rfam family "Bacterial small subunit ribosomal RNA", at positions 335 to 734 of the family's 1533-position model. The record is from RNAcentral.